This 1163-nucleotide ribosomal RNA is filed under the name Campylobacter jejuni. RNAcentral describes it as "bacterial SSU rRNA". It matches the Rfam family "Bacterial small subunit ribosomal RNA", at positions 353 to 1533 of the family's 1533-position model. The record is from RNAcentral. Lineage: Bacteria; Pseudomonadati; Campylobacterota; Epsilonproteobacteria; Campylobacterales; Campylobacteraceae.
AGUAGGGAAUAUUGCGCAAUGGGGGAAACCCUGACGCAGCAACGCCGCGUGGAGGAUGACACUUUUCGGAGCGUAAACUCCUUUUCUUAGGGAAGAAUUCUGACGGUACCUAAGGAAUAAGCACCGGCUAACUCCGUGCCAGCAGCCGCGGUAAUACGGAGGGUGCAAGCGUUACUCGGAAUCACUGGGCGUAAAGGGCGCGUAGGCGGAUUAUCAAGUCUCUUGUGAAAUCUAAUGGCUUAACCAUUAAACUGCUUGGGAAACUGAUAGUCUAGAGUGAGGGAGAGGCAGAUGGAAUUGGUGGUGUAGGGGUAAAAUCCGUAGAUAUCACCAAGAAUACCCAUUGCGAAGGCGAUCUGCUGGAACUCAACUGACGCUAAGGCGCGAAAGCGUGGGGAGCAAACAGGAUUAGAUACCCUGGUAGUCCACGCCCUAAACGAUGUACACUAGUUGUUGGGGUGCUAGUCAUCUCAGUAAUGCAGCUAACGCAUUAAGUGUACCGCCUGGGGAGUACGGUCGCAAGAUUAAAACUCAAAGGAAUAGACGGGGACCCGCACAAGCGGUGGAGCAUGUGGUUUAAUUCGAAGAUACGCGAAGAACCUUACCUGGGCUUGAUAUCCUAAGAACCUUUUAGAGAUAAGAGGGUGCUAGCUUGCUAGAACUUAGAGACAGGUGCUGCACGGCUGUCGUCAGCUCGUGUCGUGAGAUGUUGGGUUAAGUCCCGCAACGAGCGCAACCCACGUAUUUAGUUGCUAACGGUUCGGCCGAGCACUCUAAAUAGACUGCCUUCGUAAGGAGGAGGAAGGUGUGGACGACGUCAAGUCAUCAUGGCCCUUAUGCCCAGGGCGACACACGUGCUACAAUGGCAUAUACAAUGAGACGCAAUACCGCGAGGUGGAGCAAAUCUAUAAAAUAUGUCCCAGUUCGGAUUGUUCUCUGCAACUCGAGAGCAUGAAGCCGGAAUCGCUAGUAAUCGUAGAUCAGCCAUGCUACGGUGAAUACGUUCCCGGGUCUUGUACUCACCGCCCGUCACACCAUGGGAGUUGAUUUCACUCGAAGCCGGAAUACUAAACUAGUUACCGUCCACAGUGGAAUCAGCGACUGGGGUGAAGUCGUAACAAGGUAACCGUAGGAGAACCUGCGGUUGGAUCACCUCCUUUCUA